This 299-nucleotide unclassified non-coding RNA is filed under the name uncultured fungus. Its description in RNAcentral is "partial contains 5.8S rRNA and ITS2". The stretch from base 1 to 52 matches the Rfam family "5.8S ribosomal RNA", at positions 103 to 154 of the family's 154-position model. The record is from RNAcentral. Lineage: Eukaryota; Fungi.
AACGCACCUUGCGCUCCUUGGUAUUCCGAGGAGCAUGCCUGUUUGAGUGUCGUGAAAUUCUCAACCUGCCGUACUUUUUACAAGUCCGUCAGGCUUGGAUUAUGGGACUUGCUGGUUUCUUCUGAAAUCAGCUCUCCUUAAAUGUAUUAGCACAAUCUCUGCUGACCAUCUUUGGUAUGAUAAUUAUCUAUACCAUUGAGAAUCAGUUUUCCGCCUUGGAAGGAUUUUGCUUCUAAUCGUCUUCGCAGACAACUUGACAAUUUGACCUCAAAUCAGGUAGGACUACCCGCUGAACUUAA